UACGUAGGGAGCAAGCGUUAUCCGGACUUAUUGGGUGUAAAGGGUGCGUAGACGGAGAAGCAAGUUAGUUGUGAAAUCCCUCGGCUUAACUGAGGAACUGCAACUAAAACUACUUCCCUCGAGUACUGGAGAGGAAAGUGGAAUUCCUAGUGUAGCGGUGAAAUGCGUAGAUAUUAGGAGGAACACCAGUGGCGAAGGCGACUUUCUGGACAGUGACUGACGUUGAGGCACGAAAGUGUGGGGAGCAAACAGG
Molecule: ribosomal RNA, 253 nt
Filed under: uncultured bacterium
Lineage: Bacteria
Description: partial 16S ribosomal RNA
Rfam family: Bacterial small subunit ribosomal RNA
Source: RNAcentral